RNAcentral lists this ribosomal RNA (850 nucleotides) under uncultured Flavobacteriaceae bacterium. RNAcentral describes it as "bacterial SSU rRNA". It matches the Rfam family "Bacterial small subunit ribosomal RNA", at positions 38 to 886 of the family's 1533-position model. Lineage: Bacteria; Pseudomonadati; Bacteroidota; Flavobacteriia; Flavobacteriales; Flavobacteriaceae. The record is from RNAcentral.
AGCGGCAGGCCUAACACAUGCAAGUCGAGGGGUAACAGGAAGUGCUUGCACUUCGCUGACGACCGGCGCACGGGUGAGUACCGCGUAUACAAUCUGCCUCAUACUAGGGGAUAGCCCGAAGAAAUUUGGAUUAAUACCCUAUAGUAUCUUUUUAAGGCAUCUUAAAAAGAUUAAAGGUUACGGUAUGAGAUGAGUAUGCGUUCUAUUAGCUAGUAGGUGUGGUAACGGCACACCUAGGCUACGAUAGAUAGGGGCCCUGAGAGGGGGAUCCCCCACACUGGUACUGAGACACGGACCAGACUCCUACGGGAGGCAGCAGUGAGGAAUAUUGGACAAUGGGCGAAAGCCUGAUCCAGCCAUGCCGCGUGCAGGAUGACUGCCCUAUGGGUUGUAAACUGCUUUUAUAUAGGAAGAAAAACUUUCUCGUGAGAAAGCUUGACGGUACUAUAAGAAUAAGGAUCGGCUAACUCCGUGCCAGCAGCCGCGGUAAUACGGAGGAUCCAAGCGUUAUCCGGAAUCAUUGGGUUUAAAGGGUCCGUAGGUGGACAAAUAAGUCAGAGGUGAAAUCCUGCAGCUCAACUGUAGAACUGCCUUUGAUACUGUUUGUCUUGAGUUAUUAUGAAGUGGUUAGAAUGUGUAGUGUAGCGGUGAAAUGCAUAGAUAUUACACAGAAUACCGAUUGCGAAGGCAGAUCACUAAUAAUUAACUGACACUGAGGGACGAAAGCGUGGGUAGCGAACAGGAUUAGAUACCCUGGUAGUCCACGCCGUAAACGAUGGUCACUAGCUGUUUGGACUUCGGUCUGAGUGGCUAAGCGAAAGUGAUAAGUGACCCACCUGGGGAGUACGUC